RNAcentral lists this long non-coding RNA (2542 nucleotides) under Gossypium barbadense (sea-island cotton). Its description in RNAcentral is "long non-coding RNA (GBAR_LNC014561)". Lineage: Eukaryota; Viridiplantae; Streptophyta; Magnoliopsida; Malvales; Malvaceae. The record is from RNAcentral.
UUUUAUUUAUUUUUUAUUAUAAAUUUUAUGCUUUUUAUAAUAUUUUAUAUGUUUUAGUAUUUUUACAAUAUUUUAAUAACUUUCUAUCUUUUUAAAUAUUUAUUACCAUUUUUAUUUUUAAUUCAAAUAAUUUAUUUUUUUCCAAUUUUCUAUAUUUUAUAAUAUUUUUAAUAAUAUUUUAUAUAUUUAAAUAUUUUUUCAUAAUUUUAAUUUUUUUAAAUUUUUCAUAAUUUAUAUGUUUUUUUAAUUUUUAUUUUAGUACUUUUUAAUGCUUUUCACAAUUUUUAAUAAUUUUUAUAAUUUAUAUUUUUUUUUCGUUUAUAAUCAUUUUUAUAAUUUAUAUAUAUAUCUGCAAUUUUAUAUAUUUUAUAAUUUUUGCAAUUUUUAUAUUUUAUAAAAUAAUUUUGUAAUACUCCAAACUCGGCCUUAACGUUAUGACCAAAUCUAGAGAUGCUAUGAAGAUACAUUAAAAAAAAUCUAGAAUCUGUUGAUUUUAUAAAAUGAUACUUGCCCUUAUUUAGUAAAAUCUGAGUUUAUUUGAGAAAUUUAUCGUUUUGAUGGGUUUGUCAAUUAUUUACUCAUAAAACUAGUCGAAUCCAAUUUGAAAACACGAUUUUUUUUGUUGUUGUAAAAUCCAUUAUUCAACAAUUCAAUUUUCAACCCACCAACGAGGAAAUCACACAGGACUUCCUGCUAACCUACCAUCUUUUUUCAAGAGUUCAAACCCAAUCCAACACCACCAACUCGACAGCACAUUAAGGGCUAACAAAAAUAAAUUAGAGACUCAAACGAUAAAUUAACAUCUUAUCGUUGAACUAGUAAACUCAUUCUAUCACAAAUUGAUCAAAAAUAGUAUUUAAGUGGUAAGGAACAAGAUAAGGAUAAAAGACAAAAAUAAUAAAAUUUCUUAAAAAUGAGAUUUGAACCCUAAUCAGUAAAACAAAUACUUAUUCAUGACAUAAAUUAACAAAUUAAAAAUUCAUAUUUUUGGGUCUUAAAAGUUUUUAAUAAAUUAUAAUUACUUGAUUCCAGUUUCUUUAUUAUGCCCAAAUUUAAGAUUAAGCCCUAUAUUUUAAUUUUGACAUAAUUUGAUUUAUUUAUUUUUAUAAUGUCAUUAGUUAUCUUAAAUCGCUAACAUUAUUAGCUAUGCCAAGUAAAAUAACAUCGCGUAUUUUUUUUCUUAAAAUCAUCACUUCUAACUAAAUAAUGGCUUAAUCACUUUUUUAACUAAUUAUACUAACAUAGAUUUUUUUUAGUUGGAACGAGUAUGUUUAAGGAAAAAUCACCUCAACACUUUACUUGAAAUUAGUAAUCACAUUAAUUAUUUGGACUAACUAAAUCAUUACUGAAUCACCUUCUAACUAAUUAUAGUAAUGUAUAUAUUUAAGAAAAAGCUCACUUUAAUGUUUUAACUGAAAUUAUUAACCGUGUUAAUUACUUAAACUAACUAAUGAAAAAUAUUUCAAAUUAAUUUAUACUGAAUAACUCUCAAAUCCAAGUAUAAUAAAAUAAUAUGACUAACUCAAACUUGGCGUUGAAUUGAGUUUGGGAGUAAAAUAAUCACAUCACUCAUUGGCAAAGCAUGACUGUGAUUAUGAUAUGGUUUUUCGAAGUAUAACUAUGGUGGAGUUGAUAGCAUUGAUUAGAAUACCUUUAUAAAUGAAUAUAUAACAUUUAAUCAUGUAUAUAUUUUUAAUAAUUUAAUAACUUAAAAAAACACCACACUUUAUUAUAUAUGUAAAAUGUAAAUAGAAGCUACAUUCUUAUUUCAUGAAAUAACAUCAUAGAGAAUGUGAUGGCAGAGUUCAUUCUCAGUAAUAUAUGUGAUACUAAUUAGGAAUCAAACUGUCUUCAAUGGCUGGAUGGAGGUGGAGGUGGAGGUGGAGACAUGAAAGGAAUGGAAGGCAAGCUGCUACUGGGAAGUGGUGGAAGAACAGUGAUAGGCUUAGGCUAAGAUGGUGGGAUUGUUGGUAGCUUCGGGAUUCAAGGCAAUGGAGGUAUGCAGGGUUGAGCUGAGAAUGAUGGUAGAUCUAGGAUUGAAGGCAAUGGAAGUAUGUUGGGCAACUUACGAAGUGGUGGUAGUUCUAAGUUCUGGGAUUGAAGGAAAUGGUGGUGGUUCUGGGAUUAAAGGAAGUGGUGACAUCGGAGGUGGCAAUGGUACCGGUAAAUAUGCAGAUGGCAAUGGUACUGGUAAAAAUGGAGGUGGCAAUGGUAUUGGCGACAAUGGAGGUAGCAAUGGUACUGGUGACAAUGGUAUUGGCGACAAUGGAGGUGGCAAUGGUAUUGGUGGAAAUGGAGGUGGCACUUGCUGAAGAUUUCGGGUUGCUAGGCUAACCUCCAUGCUUGAAAAACCCAAGGAAAUGAAGCAGGCUAAUAAAAUGAAAACGUUGGAAGCUGCCAUUUUUUUUUGGAGAGAUGAACUAAAGAUUGAAGAUUUGAGUUGAGGAAAGCAGGAUUGGUUUCGGGUAUUUAUAGCCACAUUUGAAGGAGUUUUUUAAUUAUUUGUUUGAGAUAUUACUCCCCUACUUAGCUUACUACCUUC